AUGAACGCUAGCUACAGGGCUUAACACAUGCAAGUCGAGGGGCAGCAUGGUCUUAGCUCGCUAAGGCCGAUGGCGACCGGCGCACGGGUGAGUAACACGUAUCCAACCUGCCGUCUACUCUUGGAUAGCCUUCUGAAAGGAAGAUUAAUACAAGAUGGCAUCAUGAGUCCGCAUGUUCACAUGAUUAAAGGUAUUCCGGUAGACGAUGGGGAUGCGUUCCAUUAGAUAGUAGGCGGGGUAACGGCCCACCUAGUCUUCGAUGGAUAGGGGUUCUGAGAGGAAGGUCCCCCACAUUGGAACUGAGACACGGUCCAAACUCCUACGGGAGGCAGCAGUGAGGAAUAUUGGUCAAUGGGCGAGAGCCUGAACCAGCCAAGUAGCGUGAAGGAUGACUGCCCUAUGGGUUGUAAACUUCUUUUAUAAAGGAAUAAAGUCGGGUAUGGAUACCCGUUUGCAUGUACUUUAUGAAUAAGGAUCGGCUAACUCCGUGCCAGCAGCCGCGGUAAUACGGAGGAUCCGAGCGUUAUCCGGAUUUAUUGGGUUUAAAGGGAGCGUAGAUGGAUGUUUAAGUCAGUUGUGAAAGUUUGCGGCUCAACCGUAAAAUUGCAGUUGAUACUGGAUAUCUUGAGUGCAGUUGAGGCAGGCGGAAUUCGUGGUGUAGCGGUGAAAUGCUUAGAUAUCACGAAGAACUCCGAUUGCGAAGGCAGCCUGCUAAGCUGCAACUGACAUUGAGGCUCGAAAGUGUGGGUAUCAAACAGGAUUAGAUACCCUGGUAGUCCACACGGUAAACGAUGAAUACUCGCUGUUUGCGAUAUACAGCAAGCGGCCAAGCGAAAGCGUUAAGUAUUCCACCUGGGGAGUACGCCGGCAACGGUGAAACUCAAAGGAAUUGACGAAGG
Molecule: ribosomal RNA, 899 nt
Filed under: uncultured bacterium
Lineage: Bacteria
Description: bacterial SSU rRNA
Rfam family: Bacterial small subunit ribosomal RNA
Source: RNAcentral